GGGUCUGGGGGCGCGCC
Molecule: microRNA, 17 nt
Filed under: Macrophomina phaseolina MS6
Lineage: Eukaryota; Fungi; Ascomycota; Dothideomycetes; Botryosphaeriales; Botryosphaeriaceae
Description: miR-4492
Source: RNAcentral